RNAcentral lists this ribosomal RNA (1363 nucleotides) under human gut metagenome. RNAcentral describes it as "bacterial LSU rRNA". It matches the Rfam family "Bacterial large subunit ribosomal RNA", at positions 932 to 2281 of the family's 2925-position model. The record is from RNAcentral.
AAGGUUACCGAACCCUGUCAAACUCCGAAUGGAUAUACUGCAGAGCCUGGGAGUCAGACUACGAGUGAUAAGAUCCGUGGUCAAAAGGGAAACAGCCCAGACCACCGGCUAAGGUCCCAAAUGCCGUACUAAGUGGAAAAGGAUGUGGGGAUUCAUAAACAACCAGGAUGUUGGCUCAGAAGCAGCCACUCAUUUAAAGAGUGCGUAAUAGCUCACUGGUCGAGAGUCCCUGCGCCGAAAAUUUCCGGGGCUAAAGUACGGAACCGAAGCCGUGGCUGUGCAUGUAAGUGCACGGGGUAGGGGAGCGUUGCCACAGGGGUGAAGCUGGUCUGGAAGGACUGGUGGACUUGUGGGAAGUGAGAAUGUUGGUAUGAGUAGCGAAAAGAAAGGUGAGAAUCCUUUCCACCGAAAGCAUAAGGAUUCCUGAGCAACGAUCGUCGUCUCAGGGUAAGUCGGGACCUAAUCCGAGGCAAAGAGCGUAGGAGAUGGACAACAGGUUGAUAUUCCUGUACCGGCAGCAAUUGUUUGAGCGAAGGAGUGACACAGAAGGGCAGGCAGGCGCGAGACUGGAUUGUCGCGUGCAAGCGUGUAGGGUAGUGUACAGGCAAAUCCGUACACUGAAAGCCUGAGGCGUUACGCGGAGCGAGCAGAGAUGCGAGCGAAGCUGCUGAUCCCACACUGUCGAGAAAAGCUUCUAGUGAGAGAGCUGCCGCCCGUACCGUAAACCGACACAGGUAUGCGGGGAGAGAAUCCUAAGGUGCGCGGGAGAACCCUCGUUAAGGAACUCGGCAAAAUGUACCCGUAACUUCGGGAUAAGGGUAGCCGUCUUGGUGAAGGAACUAGCUUCUGGAGCUGAAGGCGGUCGCAGAGAAGAGGCCCAAGCGACUGUUUACCACAAACACAGGUGCCUGCUAAAGCGAAAGCUGACGUAUAGGUGCUGACACCUGCCCAGUGCUGGAAGGUUAAGGAAGGAUGUCCGGGCAACCAAAGCAUUCGACCGAAGCCCCAGUGAACGGCGGCCGUAACUAUAACGGUCCUAAGGUAGCGAAAUUCCUUGUCGGGUAAGUUCCGACCCGCACGAAAGGUGUAACGAUUUGGGCACUGUCUCAACGAGGGACCCGGUGAAAUUGAAAUACCUGUGAAGAUGCAGGUUACCCGCGACUGGACAGAAAGACCCCAUGGAGCUUUACUGUAACCUGACAUUGGGUUUUGUUGUAUUACGUACAGGAUAGGUGGGAGGCUUGGAAGGCUGGACGCUAGUCUGGCUGGAGCCGGCGUUGGGAUACCACCCUUGAUACCGGAAUUCUAACCGAGAGAGUAACGAAAUCCGGGACAGUGUCAGGCGGGCAGUUUGACUGGGGCG